Molecule: ribosomal RNA, 397 nt
Filed under: Mataza sp.
Lineage: Eukaryota; Cercozoa; Thecofilosea
Description: partial small subunit ribosomal RNA
Rfam family: Eukaryotic small subunit ribosomal RNA
Source: RNAcentral
AGCUCCAAUAGCGUAUAUUAAAGUUGUUGCAGUUAAAAAGCUCGUAGUUGGAUUUCUGGUUCAGAGAACCUGGCCCGUCUCCAAAUUUCGGAAGAUGGGUGCCGGAGUUUUCGUACCAUCCUUCCGGUGAUUUCUGUUGGUGCCCUUGAUUGGGUUGCUAACGUGCUCCGGAUCUUUUACUUUGAAAAAAUUAGAGUGUUUAAAGCAAGCAGUGUGUUGAAUACAUUAGCAUGGAAUAAUAAUCUAGGACUUUGGUUCUAUUUUGUUGGUUUCUAGCGCCAAAGUAAUGAUUGAUAGGGAUAGUUGGGGGUGCUAGUAUUUACAGGCCAGAGGUGAAAUUCUUGGAUUCUGUAAAGACUAACUUAUGCGAAAGCAUUCACCAAGGAUGUCUUCUUUA